This 457-nucleotide ribosomal RNA is filed under the name uncultured bacterium. Its description in RNAcentral is "bacterial SSU rRNA". It matches the Rfam family "Bacterial small subunit ribosomal RNA", at positions 29 to 524 of the family's 1533-position model. The record is from RNAcentral.
AACGAACGCUGGCGGCAUGCCUAACACAUGCAAGUCGAACGGGAUCCUAGCUUGCUAGGUGAGAGUGGCGGACGGGUGAGUAACACGUGGGAAUCUGCCUUUUGGUUCGGGAUAACCGCGGGAAACUGCGGCUAAUACCGAAUGCCCUCGAGAGAGGAAAGAUUUAUCGCCAGAAGAGGAGCCCGCGUCCGAUUAGGUAGUUGGUGGGGUAAAGGCCUACCAAGCCGACGAUCGGUAGCUGGUCUGAGAGGAUGAUCAGCCACACUGGGACUGAGAUACGGCCCAGACUCCUACGGGAGGCAGCAGUGGGGAAUAUUGGACAAUGGGGGCAACCCUGAUCCAGCAAUGCCGCGUGAGUGAUGAAGGCCUUAGGGUUGUAAAGCUCUUUUGCCAGGAAGAUGAUGACUGUACCUGGAGUAUAAGCCCCGGCUAACUUCGUGCCAGCAGCCGCGGUAAU